Patella vulgata (common limpet) is the source of this 2106-nucleotide long non-coding RNA. RefSeq lists it as uncharacterized. The record is from RefSeq and is a predicted model, not a curated record. The transcript is spliced from 3 exons. Lineage: Eukaryota; Metazoa; Mollusca; Gastropoda; Patellidae.
UUAAUGAAAAAAUCUACCCCUGUAACGUUACUUGGGCGAUCAACUUUUCCAUAUAAUUAGAAAGUCCCAUUCAAAUGGCCAAAUCACACAAAUAUCCAACUUAGCAAUAGUUUACUUGUUGAUGAAUGAUGAUUUUAAUGGUGCCAGGGUAAUGUUUCAUAGAGUGGAAUGAUUGACCUCAACACAAGUAUUAAAAACAAAGAAGCAAAACAGGUCUACAUCUCAAAACCUGAUGUCUUCCUGGACUGGCUUGAGGAGAACGAUGAUGCAUAUCAAUUUCAUCCCUGAUCUCUAUGACACCUGUGGUGGAAGUGGAGGGCAAAUCGUAAUCAGUUUGGGUUCCAGCCCCGAGGACCUCUGUAAACUUUGCUUUUUGGUGAUGACUUAAUUUCCGAGCUUGAAAAGGACGCCCGUGUGUUUAUCAUGGCCUCUCAUAUUGGAAGAUAACAUUAAUGGCUUGUGUGUUGAUCGACGGUUGUGCAUAUCUCUUAGUCAGGAAAGUUGUAGGCACCAUCGCCAUUGUAAAUCAUUUGACAGGCCCGAGUGAACAGGGCGACCUAUGAUUGGUCAGCAAUGUAUCGGAUUCCAUAAUGGGGGGUGGGGAUGAAAAAACUGUUGUAGUGUAACAUAAUCAGAUUAUUUCAACUUACUUAUCCUGUGGAAAUACAGCUAUAUAGGAGAUAUUUUGAAAUUCAUAGGCACUGCAUGUUUCAACAUUUUAGAUUUGACCACAAUUUGGCACUUGAAACUAUGUUAACAGAGAAAAACUGUGUGGUUUUCGAUGAAAGUGUUAAAAGUCUAAUAUUGCAUCAUGAUUACUGUUUUAAAGUAUUUUCGUGUUUGAUUUAUAUUGAAUUCAUCUCAUCUUUUUGAAGAAUGCAUUUAUGUUCAAAAAUAAAAAUGUUCUGUGGAAUUCAAAAUUCAUGUGCUUUUAAAUUAUCAGAUUCCAAACUGGGGGGUGGGGAUGAAAAAGCUGUUGUAGUGUUACAUAAUCAGAUUAUUUCAACUUACUUAUCCUAUGGAAAUACAGCUAUAUAGGAGAUAUUUUAAAAUUGAUAGGCACUGCAUGUUUCAACAUUUUAGAUUUGACCACAAUUUGGCACUUGAAACUACGUUAACAGAGAAAAACUGUGUGGUUUUCGAUGAAAGUGUUAAAAAGUCUAAUAUUGCAUCAUGAUUACUGGUUUAAAGUAUUUUCGUGUUUGAUUUAUAUUGAAUUUAUCUCAUCUUUUUACAGAAUGCAUUUAUGUUUAAAAAUAAAAAUGUUCUGUUUAAUUCAAAAUUCAUGUGCUUUUAAAUUUCUGUCUGAAAUUCCGCAGUUUUCUGAUGUAUUAUAGUGUUUGCAGAAUGCCGCACAGCUCAUCUGAAAAUGCAUAGAUUUUCAUAUUCUUUGACCAGGGAAUUGCAUAUAUGUUUGUUUAUUAGAUAACAGAUUUGUUUAAACUGCAGAAACAUGUGAGGUAUAUAGGACUAAGACUAGUAAUUAUUUCCCCUUAUUUCAUGAUGGACGAAUGUAGUGCGAGUUAUAAAUAGACAAUUUUUCCCUUAAUUUUUUUCUCCCCUCUUCCUGCAUUUUUGGGUUGACUUUUUGGUCUAGAAUUGGAGAAAAGGGAUCAAAUUUGCAAUUUCAUAGCAGUUUUGGGUAAUACUGAUGAUAUUACAGCGGAGGGAUAGGGGGUGUAAAGUGUCUUUCUGCAGAGCAAUCAUUGUGUCGGAAGUGAGAUUUUCACCCCUGUCAACUUCAAAUCCGUAUAGCAAAAAAUCUAAAUGGUCAACCCCUUCCAAAGUUAUGAUGAGGAGAUUGCCAAAUGUUGUCCCCAUUGUGCCUAUAAAGAUUGGAACCAAUGGAAUGUUGAGCAAAAAGCUACAGCCUGUGAUGUUACAGUCAUUUAACAUUGAAGUCAAUGGGCAAAUAAUUGCUAGUCUGAGUCCGUCUGCUCAAUGUUAUGAUAGAGAAGAGUCUGUCACAAGUUGUUUUAGAUGAUUUUUAUGAUAAAUCCAACCAAUACUUCGAAGAUAAAAAUUCCUGUGAAAAGUAUAUGUUACAACAUCUUAUAUUUAACCAUUUAUUUAAAUUGUCAUUGACUUAUAGAUCUAUAAAAAAAA